GGAUGAACGCUAGCGGCAGGCCUAAUACAUGCAAGUCGAGGGGCAGCACGGUAGCAAUACUGGUGGCGACCGGCAAACGGGUGCGGAACACGUACGCAACCUUCCUUUAAGAGAUGAAUAGCCCGAAGAAAUUCGGAUUAAUGCAUCGUAAGAUUGUGGGAUGGCAUCAUCCAGCAAUUAAAGAUUUAUUUCGCUUAAAGAUGGGCGUGCGCCUGAUAGGUAGUUGGUGAGGUAACGGCUCACCAAGCCGACGAUCAGUAACUGGCGUGAGAGCGCGACCAGUCAC
Molecule: ribosomal RNA, 286 nt
Filed under: uncultured bacterium
Lineage: Bacteria
Description: partial 16S ribosomal RNA
Rfam family: Bacterial small subunit ribosomal RNA
Source: RNAcentral